Molecule: ribosomal RNA, 476 nt
Filed under: Pseudomonas aeruginosa
Lineage: Bacteria; Pseudomonadati; Pseudomonadota; Gammaproteobacteria; Pseudomonadales; Pseudomonadaceae
Description: bacterial SSU rRNA
Rfam family: Bacterial small subunit ribosomal RNA
Source: RNAcentral
AUUGAACGCUGGCGGCAGGCUUAACACAUGCAAGUCGAGCGGAUGAAGGGAGCUUGCUCCUGGAUUCAGCGGCGGACGGGUGAGUAAUGCCUAGGAAUCUGCCUGGUAGUGGGGGAUAACGUCCGGAAACGGGCGCUAAUACCGCAUACGUCCUGAGGGAGAAAGUGGGGGAUCUUCGGACCUCACGCUAUCAGAUGAGCCUAGGUCGGAUUAGCUAGUUGGUGGGGUAAAGGCCUACCAAGGCGACGAUCCGUAACUGGUCUGAGAAGAUGAUCAGUCACACUGGAACUGAGACACGGUCCAGACUCCUACGGGAGGCAGCAGUGGGGAAUAUUGGACAAUGGGCGAAAGCCUGAUCCAGCCAUGCCGCGUGUGUGAAGAAGGUCUUCGGAUUGUAAAGCACUUUAAGUUGGGAGGAAGGGCAGUAAGUUAAUACCUUGCUGUUUUGACGUUACCAACAGAAUAAGCACCGCUAA